AAGAAAAAAGGUAAAACGAUGGAAGAAGAAUUGGUGGUACUCAACUACUCAUUAAUAAAACAAAACGUCACUUCCCAGUUUGGAACAAAAUUGGGUCUGGAACAAAAUUGAUGGAAGAAGAAAGAUGGGUCUUGUUCCUUUACCUGAGUGAAUUGGAGAGAGAGUUUUUUUCUCAGCAAGAUCUCAGCAAAUUGAUUCGAUUAGCGACGCAACAAAUUGUUUACUGUGUCUCUGCAAAUUGUUCUUUAGGUUAGAAAUAAAUGGGCUAUCCAUUUAUUUAAGAGAAAACCCAUUUAAUAAGUGGGCUUAACUGGGUUAACCCAUUUAACCAAUUAAAACAAUUUUUUAUAAAUGGGUCUAAAUGGGCUAUUUAUUUAACAACAUACCCAUUUAAUUAAAUGGGCAGUGAAAC
This 412-nucleotide small RNA is filed under the name Arabidopsis thaliana (thale cress). Its description in RNAcentral is "ATSL276210". The record is from RNAcentral. Lineage: Eukaryota; Viridiplantae; Streptophyta; Magnoliopsida; Brassicales; Brassicaceae.